RNAcentral lists this long non-coding RNA (1643 nucleotides) under Podarcis lilfordi (Lilford's wall lizard). The record is from RNAcentral. Lineage: Eukaryota; Metazoa; Chordata; Lepidosauria; Squamata; Lacertidae.
AUUUGUGACAUAAUAGCAUAGUGGGGGGGGGGAGCGUCACAGAACGAGGAAAAGAAUCAAGCAGAGUAGGUACUUCUUUCUUUUUUCUUUUAUGGGAUCCCUACUUCAUGCUUCCAGUUCAAAUGGCAACACUUCCUGUUUAAAUUGUUUACAUUUCUAAUUAAAUGCUAAAAGUUGCAUUGCAGCUGCAUGAAGAUCUGUUGUUGUUGUUAUAAGAAGAAGAAAAACACCUCAAUGAGUUUUACACGUUGAACCAUUGCAGUCAGAAAAGAAACACCAUUCAGUUCAAUGGCACUUACUUGAAUACUUAGGACUACAGUCAUGCCAUAUGGUUGGUCAGGGAUGUGAACCCAGGUAUGUCCAGCCAAAUUCCAACAUGCUGAUUGUCACACCACAUUCAGCCAGCUCACUUUUCCAUUACUAUUAGCUGUUCCUAAUAAGCUGGGUAUUAUGGUAUAUAUUGCUACUGUUAGUGGAUAUGUAUCUUUGUAUAUAGCUAUUUGUCUAUCAUGGCAACAUAGAUGCCUGCAUUUUUGAAUUAUCCUUGGAGGUGUGGCUAUGGAGGCUGUCAUAAUAAGGUCCUGAACUUCUAAAUUUACCACUACAGUGCUGCGGAAGCGUGUGUUUGCCUCAUUUCUGUGUAAUCACAACCAGCACCUACACAUCUGAGAUUACAUAAUAGUAAUAAUAAUAAUAAUAAUAAUAAUAAUAAAAGAACUGGGGCUUUGGGAAUAAGUCACCACUUGCUUACGCAUUUUGAGCCUUUAGCGGAAACUGACUGCAUAUUCCCCACAUUUUCCUCCUUGCCUCAGUGAGGGCUGGAAACUUUGCUUUCUUGUCAUUUCUAAAAAUAUGUUGACCCCAAGCAAUCCAGACUGAGUGUUGUGAUAUACAGUACAGUGGUACCUCUAGAUGCGAACGGGAUCUGUUCCGGAGCCCUGUUCGCAUCUAGAAGCAAAUGUAACCAGCGAUGGCACGUCUGCGCACGCGCACGUCACUUUUCACCGCUUCUGCGCAUGCGCAUGAUGUCAUUUUGAGCGCCUGCGCAUGCGCUAGCGGCGAAACCCAGAAGUAACGCGCUCCGUUACUUCCGGGUUGCCGCGGAACGCAACUCGAACACGCUCAUCCCGAAGCACAUUCAACCCGAGGUAUGACUGUACAAGGAAGCAAGACUGCAUACACAUAUGUACACACAGAAGCCCUGAACUUUUGUAUUCUUCAUUUGAUUUGUUCUAGGGUGGAGGCACAUUGACAGUCCGGAUUUCCAGCAGAUGUCACUACCGUCAUCCUUGCCUGUGGGGUUGUGUUGAUUCCUAAACAGCUCACACAGAGGCAUCAGCUGUUUGUUCACACAGUCCUGCAUCACUUGCCUCUCCUUCUGUAAUGACAACCUGCCCAACUCCAGCUCCUUUCAUCUCUGAAUUUUAAAGUGUGUUUUAAGCCCUCAUUAAAUCUCACUACACCCAAUGUGAAGGAGGUGUUAAGUGUUAUUAACUGCAUUGUACACAGAGGGAAACUGAGGCACAGAGCGGUCAGACAACUUGCCUGCAGUCACAGAGGAAGUAUGUGACAAAGCCAUUAAUAGAACCUGCGACUGCUGGAUCACCACCUCCCUUUUUAGCUUUGACCAUUCCAAUAAAUAC